Megalobrama amblycephala (Wuchang bream) is the source of this 1625-nucleotide long non-coding RNA. RefSeq lists it as uncharacterized. The record is from RefSeq and is a predicted model, not a curated record. Lineage: Eukaryota; Metazoa; Chordata; Actinopteri; Cypriniformes; Xenocyprididae. The transcript is spliced from 4 exons.
UACGCUGAUAAAUCUCAGCUUUAUAUUUCUUCACGCCCUGACGAAACUUACCAAUUGAAAAAAUGAAUGGAAUGCAUAUGUGGCAUUACAGGUAAGAUGGGCAUGACUUUCCGAAAUUGCUAGGGCGGGCAUUAAUUUGCGUCAUGGAUUAUUAUCGUCUAUAAAAGCCAUUGGCUUAUGUACCUGGGUAGGCGUCAUUUCCCGGAAGUGGUUUGGCUUUUGUUGUCCUGCUGAACGUGACUGUGGGUCGGUAAAGGAGCGUGACUGUGCGUACGGUCAGUUCUAUGUUUGGCGUUUUGCCGCGGCUGCCCUGUUCAGCUGAUGAAUGUGACUGCAUCUGUCCUUCUCCAGUUAAUGUUUUGCAUACGGGCGUCGGCUGUUGCAUAUAGGCUGUGUAUUUAAUCUUCUGGCCUCAUCCAGUUCCCGCAGUACUCGUUUGGGUUGGUAAUAUCCUCGCAGUGGCGUCACCGCUGUCUCGUUCUAGGUCAAACUUUGAGUCUCUGUGUGCGUUGGGUCACUGUCGUGCUGUUGGACCCACGCCAGUGGAUUUCGUUUUUUGUGUUCAUGUUUUGUUUUUGAAAGUUGAGUCUUUAUUCUGUGUUUUUGUAAACUUUUUUUUUUGUUGUUGUUGUUGUUGUUGUUGUUUCACUAUUCAUCUUUCUAAAUCCGUUUGAUCUAUUUUUUGUAUAAGCUAUUUUUGCUUCUAUUUUGCUGUUUCUGUUAAUCUUUUGUACUUAAUUUGUUUUUGUAUUGACUUUUUGAGUUUGAGAUAUUCAAUUUUUUUUUUUUAAUUGGUUGGAUUUAUUUUUUUGUUGUCUGAUUUAGUUUUUUUUUUUUUUCUAUUUGAGUUUUGAAUUGGGUUAUCUACUCUUCUUGAUAUUGUGAAAUUGUUUUGUUUGGUUAUCAUUUAUUGUGUUUGAUAUUGAGUUAAAGUGAAUUGUUUAACAUUCAUGUAAGUUGUGAUCUAGAACAAUUUGUAUUAACCUUUUUGUGUGUGUGUGUGUGUGUGUGUGUUUGAGUUUUUUUUUUUUUUUUUUUUUUUUUCUAGGAGCUGCUGGCCUCUAUUGACCAGGGUCGACGACUUCCUCUUUAGAUGGUGGUGGUCUUUCUUCAUUGUGUGCUGUGGUUUUUUGGCGUGCACUGGGGUCUUUAUUUUGGUGCGUGUGAUGUGUAGAUUAAGAGCCAUUUAUUCAUGGAGAGUCUUCCCCUAUAAUUCAGGCCGCAGCUCCAUGACAUCUUGAGUGAUCGAAGACUGUGUCAGUUUUUUUGGGAGUUGUUUUCAUUUUAUUGAUUUUAUGCUAUUCUAAUAAAAAAAAAAAUUGUUUGAUACCUGUGUCUCCACGUUUUGCUUGCCACUGGGUAGGGGACCUGUGCAAGGUCUUUUGAGAUUCUUUGGGUGAAAUUCCCAAAGUGGCGUAGUCAGGUAUUCCUUAACUUUAUAAUUUUAUUUAUUUAUUUAUUUAUUUUUUUUAUUUUGUUUAAAUUAAAUUAAUUUAUUGAAAUUUAGCGGCGCCACUCCUAGGCCCCGGCCACACAUAGCUGAUAUUGUUCGUCGUCAGUUAGGAACCUGGGUGUGCUCUUUGAUACCAAUCUUUCAUUUGAAAGCCACAUUUCUAGCAUCUGUA